This is a long non-coding RNA of Anopheles stephensi (Asian malaria mosquito), 750 nucleotides long. RefSeq lists it as uncharacterized. NCBI's taxonomy places the organism in Eukaryota, Metazoa, Arthropoda, Insecta, Diptera, Culicidae. The transcript has 2 exons. The record is from RefSeq and is a predicted model, not a curated record.
ACUGAUAUCAGAUAAAACAAUGUCUCAAAUUGAAUUUUGAAUUGAAAAAAAAACUAAGACCUUAUAAGUAAUAGUAAGAUCACACGAAAUGUUUUCCCUUUUUUAAAUUUCAGCUUACAAUAACAACGAAAACGUUUGAAAUUUGAAUGAUUAACGGUUUUACGGUUUUGACUGGGAUAUUUUACAUACGAUGUUUCGCAGCCUUCCCAAGUUACUACGCUCUUAUAAGUGAUCAAAUGUUUGAAGAAACCUGUACUAGUCGUUGGAUGGCACUAACUUGUUAUUCCGACCAUAGUGAUAAACCCUUCUAAAGCGCUUCAGGACCUACGGAAAAUGGGGACAUUAUGAGUACACCAGUUUGUUGAUACGUGAAGGCAAAUUUGGUGGUAUGAUUUUUUUUUUGUGCCCAGCUCAUUGUGGUGAGAGACUACAGGACGAAAUUAUCCCACAGUAGAGAUAAUGAAAAAAGAAAAGGAGAUAAGAAGACGUAAGCAAAAAAAAUCACGGAAUCGCGUUAGUCGUAAACAUGUUGAAAGUUGUUAAAUGCAAUUUGCGCUCCAAGGAAAAAAUCGUCCUGACCGUAUAAAACGUAAGCAUAACAGGGAUAUAGAAGGAUUGACCGAUCAUAGCUACAAGAAACAGAGGAAUUGUUGAUACGAAUCCAACUUUUAAUCGCAAAUAGCAAUAGCGAUUAUGCCAAUAGCAAUUUUUAAAUUUUCGCAAAUUAAAUUACUCCAUCAUCUCAUUGCA